GGUGGGCGGCGGCGCGUCAGCUGGUGGCGUCCUCCUGGAGAUUCCUACAAGAAGCCGAUGGCCGGGAUCUCCGGCGCCGGCCCUCCGAUGCUUAAGUCAGAGGGGGCUCGUAUAUGAGUGGAGUAAAAAAGGAGAAUGUUUGUUCGUUUCUCCCUUCUCCUUUUCCCCCGGUUCCCUUUUAUAGAAGGAUAUUAUGUUACCUGGGAGGUGACAGGGGAAAUUGUCUUCUUCGUGAUAAUUAGGCACGAUCAUGCUCAUUAAUGGCGUUGUGGAGAACGAGACCGGAUCAGACCGGAGCCAGCGAAUUGUCAUGGUUGAUCGGACCU
RNAcentral lists this long non-coding RNA (326 nucleotides) under Phoenix dactylifera (date palm). RNAcentral describes it as "long non-coding RNA (PDAC_LNC008005)". Lineage: Eukaryota; Viridiplantae; Streptophyta; Magnoliopsida; Arecales; Arecaceae. The record is from RNAcentral.